AUAUGAAGUCGAACCUGCCCAGUGAAAAUUUUUAACGGCCGCGGUAUUCUGACCGUGCAAAGGUAGCAUAAUCAUUUGCCUCUUAAUUAGAGGCUAGUAUGAAUGGUUUGACGAGAAUGUAGCUGUCUCUUUAUAACUAUAUAGAAUCUUAUAUUUAGGUGAAAAAGCCUAGAUUUAAUUGAUAGACAAGAAGACCCUGUCGAGCUUGAAAAUAAUUUAUAAAAUAGAACUUAUUAAGUAAAAGAGUUAAUUAUUAAAUAUUUUGGUUGGGGCAACCGAGGAGUAUAAAAAGCCUCCUUUAUUAAUUAAAAUCUACUAAUAUUGACCCAAAAAUUUUGGAUAAAGGAAUUAGUUACCGCAGGGAUAACAGCAUAAUCUUUUUUGAGAGUUCCUAUCGAAAAAAAGGUUUGUGACCUCGAUGUUGGACCAAAGUAUCCUAAAGAUGUAGAAGUCUUUAAAGGUUGGUCUGUUCGACCAUUAAAACUUUA
RNAcentral lists this ribosomal RNA (488 nucleotides) under Oenopota sp. NP-2011. Its description in RNAcentral is "partial 16S ribosomal RNA". It matches the Rfam family "Bacterial large subunit ribosomal RNA", at positions 1845 to 2598 of the family's 2925-position model. The record is from RNAcentral. Lineage: Eukaryota; Metazoa; Mollusca; Gastropoda; Neogastropoda; Conidae.